UAAUGUCUUCAAGUUUCCCACUAAGCAAAGCUAGAGAGAGAGAGAGAGAGAGAGAGAGAGUGGAAGUAGUUCUGUUUCGCUACAAGACUUUCGAAACGCUUCCUUCCUAGCUAUAUAUAACCUUCAAGUUUCCACCAUCCAUGCUAUAUUUAACUAGACAAGAGUGGUCUCUCUCUCUCUCUCUCUCUCUCUCUCUCUCUCUCAAGGGUGGUGCUGGCGUCUGCUUAGCUUUUGAUGUGUCUUGUGCAUGCGUGCAUAUGGCUACACAGAUUAAUUUGGCAAGCACAUCUAGCACACAAGCACAACAUGUACCAGCAGCUGAAAUCCAAUUAAUGGCUGGCGCUCCAACAACAGGACUAGGCAUUGUGUGAUCCAUAUAACCAAUUUGCCUCAACCUAAGACCCCUUCACUCCAUCUACUAGAGGAAAACAACGGUACGUAACAUCCAUCUCUCUCUCUCUCUCUCUCUCUCUCUCAUCAUUGGUAGUCCCUUCUUUUAUGAUAAAUAAGAUUUUUGUGUAUUGCAUGACAUUAUUGUUACAAAUUUGGCCAUACAUUUUCUAAAAUUACAAUAAUGCAACUAUGUCAUGUAUUUGUGGUUAAUAAAGUUAAAAGCCUUGGUCUA
Long non-coding RNA from Prunus dulcis (almond), 625 nucleotides. RefSeq lists it as uncharacterized. Lineage: Eukaryota; Viridiplantae; Streptophyta; Magnoliopsida; Rosales; Rosaceae. The transcript is spliced from 2 exons. The record is from RefSeq and is a predicted model, not a curated record.